RNAcentral lists this ribosomal RNA (532 nucleotides) under uncultured Oceanicola sp. RNAcentral's name for it is "bacterial SSU rRNA". It matches the Rfam family "Bacterial small subunit ribosomal RNA", at positions 505 to 1041 of the family's 1533-position model. The record is from RNAcentral. Lineage: Bacteria; Pseudomonadati; Pseudomonadota; Alphaproteobacteria; Rhodobacterales; Roseobacteraceae.
GUGCCAGCCGCUGCGGUAAUACGGAGGGGGCUAGCGUUGUUCGGAAUUACUGGGCGUAAAGCGCGCGUAGGCGGACUAUUAAGUCAGGGGUGAAAUCCCGGGGCUCAACCCCGGAACUGCCUUUGAUACUGGUAGUCUUGAGUUCGAGAGAGGUGAGUGGAAUUCCGAGUGUAGAGGUGAAAUUCGUAGAUAUUCGGAGGAACACCAGUGGCGAAGGCGGCUCACUGGCUCGAUACUGACGCUGAGGUGCGAAAGUGUGGGGAGCAAACAGGAUUAGAUACCCUGGUAGUCCACACCGUAAACGAUGAAUGCCAGUCGUCGGCAAGCAUGCUUGUCGGUGACACACCUAACGGAUUAAGCAUUCCGCCUGGGGAGUACGGUCGCAAGAUUAAAACUCAAAGGAAUUGACGGGGCCCGCACAAGCGGUGGAGCAUGUGGUUAAUUCGAAGCAACGCGCAGAACCUUACCAACCUUGACAUCCUGUGCCACUCCGAGAGAUCGGACGUUCCCUUCGGGACGCAGUGACAGGUGC